RNAcentral lists this transfer RNA (68 nucleotides) under Coriobacteriaceae bacterium. Its description in RNAcentral is "tRNA-Gln". It matches the Rfam family "tRNA". Rfam says of the family: Transfer RNA (tRNA) molecules are approximately 80 nucleotides in length. Their secondary structure includes four short double-helical elements and three loops (D, anti-codon, and T loops). Further hydrogen bonds mediate the characteristic L-shaped molecular structure. tRNAs have two regions of fundamental functional importance: the anti-codon, which is responsible for specific mRNA codon recognition, and the 3' end, to which the tRNAs corresponding amino acid is attached (by aminoacyl-tRNA synthetases). tRNAs cope with the degeneracy of the genetic code in two manners: having more than one tRNA (with a specific anti-codon) for a particular amino acid; and 'wobble' base-pairing, i.e. permitting non-standard base-pairing at the 3rd anti-codon position. Lineage: Bacteria; Bacillati; Actinomycetota; Coriobacteriia; Coriobacteriales; Coriobacteriaceae. The record is from RNAcentral. RNAcentral also lists the same sequence under 1 other name.
CCCCUCGUCCAAGGGCAGGACGCCGGGUUUUGGUUCCGGAAACCGCGGUUCGAGCCCGUGGGGGCCCA